ACACGACUACAUUAGAUACCCGUGUAGUCCCAGCCCUAAACGAUGCGCGUUAGGUGUAUCGGUGACCACGAGUCACCGAGGUGCCGAAGGGAAACCGUGAAACGUGCCGCCUGGGAAGUACGGUCGCAAGGCUGAAACUACAAAGGAAUUGGCGGGGGAGCACCACAACGGGUGGAGCCUGCGGUUUAAUUGGACUCAACGCCGGGAAGCUCACCGGAUAAGACAGCGGAAUGAUUGCCGGGCUGAAGACCCUGCAUGACCAUCUG
This 266-nucleotide ribosomal RNA is filed under the name uncultured archaeon. RNAcentral's name for it is "partial 16S ribosomal RNA". It matches the Rfam family "Archaeal small subunit ribosomal RNA", at positions 719 to 982 of the family's 1478-position model. The record is from RNAcentral.